This 154-nucleotide ribosomal RNA is filed under the name Acinetobacter baumannii. RNAcentral describes it as "partial 16S ribosomal RNA". It matches the Rfam family "Bacterial small subunit ribosomal RNA", at positions 35 to 188 of the family's 1533-position model. Lineage: Bacteria; Pseudomonadati; Pseudomonadota; Gammaproteobacteria; Moraxellales; Moraxellaceae. The record is from RNAcentral.
GCUGGCGGCAGGCUUAACACAUGCAAGUCGAGCGGGGGAAGGUAGCUUGCUACUGGACCUAGCGGCGGACGGGUGAGUAAUGCUUAGGAAUCUGCCUAUUAGUGGGGGACAACAUCUCGAAAGGGAUGCUAAUACCGCAUACGUCCUACGGGAG